Molecule: non-coding RNA, 27 nt
Filed under: Cricetulus griseus (Chinese hamster)
Lineage: Eukaryota; Metazoa; Chordata; Mammalia; Rodentia; Cricetidae
Source: RNAcentral
AUCUUGUGGUCAUAUUGUAGGACUGCA